CUACACAUAUAUUUGCUGCAACUCGAUUGCUUCUUGGCCCUACUUUGACAACACCCACCCUUCUGAGGUUCUCCCACCGUUGGAUCGGUUCCAAAUCUACGGUGAUGGCACCGUCAAAGGUAUGAUACACACGCACACAUUUUGUUGGUGAAUUUGCAGCAUUCCAUUAAUUAGGGGUACACGUGUUUUCUUCUAAUGUCAUUCAAGCUUAAAGCAAUGCCAGCUAAAAAGGACAGAUAUUCGUAGGACUCACUUUUGCUUAUAUUAAAAAAUACGUAUUAUUUGAUCCAAAAGAAAUAAAUAAUUUAUUAGCAAUAAUAAAAGUCAUCAAGCAAUUAUUUCUCCAUUAUUUUUACUACCGAAAGUGGAAUGAUUCUUAGAGUAAACACUUUACAACCACCGCAAUUAUAAUGUGAACCAAGUUCUUUCACCAACUAAAGUCUAAGUAGUUUACUUUAGGGAAAUAAUAUCUACAAUUGAUUAAUUAUAAUUGAAAAGAUAACUAUUACGAGCUCGUUUGAAAGUAUUUUUAAAAUGAUUGAUAACACUUUUAAAGAAAUAUUUUGGAUUCUAAAAUCACUUAAAAUGCUUCCUUAAGUGAUUAUUUAAGGUGCUUCCCUAAUUUCAAUCAUUUUAUAAAUUCUUCCAAACAAAUCUUAUAUUCAUUAAGAUAAAAACAAAAAAUGUUAUUUUAAGUCAUUGCAGGUAGCCAAUGGUGAGCAUGUACAAGAUGAAAGAGAAAUUUUAGAAAGUGAUACUUAUCCUAGUUGAUGAGGACAUUUAUUUUUAUUAACCUUAAUUGAAGAAAUGAAUCAUUUUUAUUGAUAUAUGUUAAAAAAAAUGAAAUGACCAUGUACCUACAACAAAUAUAAAAUUAUGUACGACCUGAACCAAUUUUUUUUAUAAAAAACCUAAAAUAUUAUAUGAUUAGGUGUAAGUCACUAUUAUAAUAAGUAUAAAAUACCUCUUGAAAUAAAUAAAAGUUAAUAACAGUUAGAUUGAGGAUAGUUUAUUAACGAACGGACUGUUUUUUCUUUUGUCCUGAUUUGGUGGCAAGAAAACCUUGAGAUGUGUUAUCCACGCUCUUUUUUAUUUUUUAUUCACUUUUUAUUAAUUUCAGUCAUUUGAUCUUCUUCAAUUCAUCCGAUGAUAAAAAAACUUAGAAAGGUGUGUGAAAAGUAAAAAUGGUGUAUGGAUAGCACAUCCCUACUAAAAAAUUGGAAGCAUUUAUGCUCAUCCUAUAACUAUGGGGUAUGCUCUUCAUACAUCUUAUUAUCUGCCAUGUGUACUUUUACUUAACCCUAAUUAUUUUUUUUCCACAUUGAAAAUGAUCUUUUAAUAUGCAAGUUAACCAAAAUUAGAUGAAAGGAUACAAGGCAGAUGAUAAGGUAUAUAGUGAGUAUACAACAUAAUUUAUAGUGGUGCGCAAAAAUGCAUCCCAAAAAAAGAUAAAAUCUCCUAAUUUGAAGGGAGUAUGAUUCUUUUUCCUCCUCAUCUUUCUCCUCUUUUAUUCCUUCCCCUCCUAUUUAAACGGUUAGGAUUAAAGCACACUGAAAUUUAUGGAGAGAAAAAGACGAAAAAAAAGUGUGAGAUGAGGGAAGUAAGAGAUAGAAAAUACAUGUUACAUAAACGGUUAGGAUUUAGCCCAACUUAUGUUUUUGCAAGGGGCUUUUCUCAUAGUGCACAUGUUACUUACAUAUCUAAAUAACAACCGUUAAAUUUAUAUGAACGAACGAGACAAAACUUUACCUUAAGUUACAACCGGGAUACCAAACCUUGAAGUACAGAAUCCGGUAGUUCUCUAUCUUCUCGCUCCGGGCGUCUGUCUCUCUCCUCCCUUCCCUUAGCCAAAACCUCAGUUCCUGUCUAGACCUAGAGCACUGCUGCCAUCACCAACAACUCUUUUGAAUUAGAUGAUGGGUUAAGUGUUUGUGUUGAUAAUUUUGGAGGGAAAUAGAACUUGGUGGAGGUCCUGGGGAGGAGUGGCUUUGGGUGGCUUGAGGGUUUUUGAUAGGUGGAGAGUUGAGUGGUUAACGGAGGCACAGUCGCCAACGGAUUAUAAUCUUUCGGCGGAGGUGUUUGGCCAACGGUGGGGAGAGGUAGGGGAGGUGACCAGGAGAAAGAGGAAGAGGUGGCAACUUUCGGCGCCCGUUCGUUAAGGUUGAUCGGUGGGUUAGAAGUAAAUGGGUAAAUAAAAUGUGCAUGUAGACGUGUGCACUGGGGAAGCAGCCUUUCGGCGAGUUGGAUGGAUGGGCGAAAACAUGGAAUUUUGAAUAUUCUAAGCCGUCCACGUGUAGGGUAGUCCUUUCUCCUCGGCACCGAACUUGUCUGUUGCUGUUAGGCCGUGCCCAACCUCCAGCCCAAAGCUGGGGCCCACUUUAUUCAUCCUCGCUCACCGCAAGUCUGCAACCUAAAGUGGGGCCCACUUUAGUCGGUCCCACAGUUCAUAUACUGUUCAAUAAUAAUAAUAAUAAUAUUAUUAUUAUUAUUUUAUUUUCGGAAGAUUCAAUGUUUCUGUAUCCACUAGUGAAUGUGGGAAAAUGUGUUUGAUGGUAUGUCUGAUGCACCUGCCAUUAAUUACUAAGGUACGAAAGAGAUACCUGCGCAUAUUUUUUGGUAUUUUACUAAUAUUACAACAUACACGUAAGCAUUUUUGUAGUAUUCAAGCUUUCAGCUCGACUUUUGAUGUUAUAUUUUUACUAUGUUACACAAAAUUUACAGC
This 2722-nucleotide long non-coding RNA is filed under the name Malus domestica (apple). RNAcentral's name for it is "long non-coding RNA (MDOM_LNC016048)". The record is from RNAcentral. Lineage: Eukaryota; Viridiplantae; Streptophyta; Magnoliopsida; Rosales; Rosaceae.